RNAcentral lists this ribosomal RNA (517 nucleotides) under uncultured microorganism. RNAcentral describes it as "bacterial SSU rRNA". It matches the Rfam family "Bacterial small subunit ribosomal RNA", at positions 9 to 527 of the family's 1533-position model. The record is from RNAcentral.
GAGUUUGAUCUUGGCUCAGGAUGAACGCUGGCGGCGUGCCUAACACAUGCAAGUCGAGCGAAGCGCUUGAAUCUGAUUCUUCGGAUGAGGAUUCUUGUGACUGAGCGGCGGACGGUGAGUAACGCGUGGGCAACCUGCCUUACACAGGGGGAUAACAGUUAGAAAUGACUGCUAAUACCGCAUAAGACCGCAGUACCGCAUGGUACAGCGGUAAAAAACUCCGGUGGUGUAAGAUGGGCCCGCGUCUGAUUAGGUAGUUGGCGGGUAACGGCCCACCAAGCCGACGAUCAGUAGCCGACCUGAGAGGGUGACCGGCCACAUUGGGACUGAGACACGGCCCAGACUCCUACGGGAGGCAGCAGUGGGGAAUAUUGCACAAUGGGGGAAACCCUGAUGCAGCGACGCCGCGUGAGCGAUGAAGUAUUUCGGUAUGUAAAGCUCUAUCAGCAGGGAAGAAAAUGACGGUACCUGACUAAGAAGCCCCGGCUAACUACGUGCCAGCCGCCGCCGUAAGACC